This 468-nucleotide ribosomal RNA is filed under the name uncultured bacterium. RNAcentral describes it as "partial 16S ribosomal RNA". It matches the Rfam family "Bacterial small subunit ribosomal RNA", at positions 28 to 507 of the family's 1533-position model. The record is from RNAcentral.
GACGAACGCUGGCGGCGUGCUUAACACAUGCAAGUCGAACGGAAAGGCCCUGCUUUUGUGGGGUGAUCGAGUGGCGAACGGGUGCGUAACACGUGAGUAACCUGCCCUUGACUUUGGGAUAACUUCAGGAAACUGGGGCUAAUACCGGAUAGGAGAUCCUGCUGCAUGGUGGGGGUUGGAAAGUUUCGGCGGUUGGGGCUGGACUCGGGGCUUAUCAGCUUGUUGGUGGGGUAGUGGCAUACCAAGGCUUGGACGGGUAGCCGGCCUGAGAGGGUGACCGGCCACAUGGGGACUGAGGUACGGCCCAGACUCCUACGGGAGGCAGCAGUGGGGAAUAUUGCACAAUGGGCGGAAGCCUGAUGCAGCAACGCCGCGUGCGGGAUGGCGGCCUUCGGGUUGUAAACCGCUUUCGCCUGUGACGAAGCGUGAGUGACGGUAAUGGGUAAAGAAGCACCGGCUAACUACGUG